Rhinopithecus roxellana (golden snub-nosed monkey) is the source of this 108-nucleotide unclassified non-coding RNA. It matches the Rfam family "Y RNA". Rfam says of the family: Y RNAs are components of the Ro ribonucleoprotein particle (Ro RNP), in association with Ro60 and La proteins. The Y RNAs and Ro60 and La proteins are well conserved, but the function of the Ro RNP is not known. The record is from Ensembl. Lineage: Eukaryota; Metazoa; Chordata; Mammalia; Primates; Cercopithecidae.
GGCUGGUCUGAGUACAGUGGUAUUUAUUAAUACAACUAAUUAAUCACAACCAGUUACAGAGUUCUUUGUUCCUUCUCCACUCCCAUGGCUUCACUUGACUAUCUUUAA